This is a long non-coding RNA of Eublepharis macularius, 666 nucleotides long. RefSeq lists it as uncharacterized. The record is from RefSeq and is a predicted model, not a curated record. Lineage: Eukaryota; Metazoa; Chordata; Lepidosauria; Squamata; Eublepharidae. The transcript is spliced from 4 exons.
AGAUGAUGAAACGGUCUUUUGAUCAGAUGAUGAGAUCUGCUGCCGUUCACCAAAGCCUGUUUUUCGAAAGCCACCUGAUUGAUCUGACUUUAGCGAAUUUCAGACCGUUUCAAGACCUUUGGGACAUGCUACGGGAGAUAGAGCCAAGCCCUCCUUCUGCUACAGGCAGCCCGAAGUUGAAAGAAAAGUUGUAGUCCUGGAUCCAGUGGACUACACAGGGCACGGCUCCUUCCUGACUAUGUGCAGUGCCCAACAGCUGGACUGAGAUCACAGCAGAUUUCCUGGAAGAUGCUUUCGGGAAGGUUGUAAUUGAAAUGCACUGUCUACAUAGUUAUAUGUCCCUGGCCAUUGAAGAGUACUUGGCCCACUACGUAAGCAGGCCCUUGGGAGAGCUAAAUGGCACUCACUGCCGUCUACAACCAGUCCCCUCUGGGGUCUCCUAAAUAGGAGGAAGGGAUUCAGUUUCCAAGACGUAUAUGAAAGAGCCCCAGUGAGCAGCCACUUGAGGAAGGAGGGCUCCUCCCCCAAACGAGUGAUUUUUUUUUAAAGAAAUUUGUAUUGGCCAUCCAGCAACCAAAUGGGAGCGCCCUGGACAACCAGGCCGUGGAGGACACCAGCAGGGAUGCAGGCAGCCCGAAGUUGAAACAAAACAUUGUAGUCCUGGAU